Balaenoptera acutorostrata (minke whale) is the source of this 188-nucleotide small nuclear RNA. RefSeq annotates it as U2 spliceosomal RNA. The record is from RefSeq and is a predicted model, not a curated record. The transcript has a single exon. Lineage: Eukaryota; Metazoa; Chordata; Mammalia; Artiodactyla; Balaenopteridae.
AUACUAUUCUUCACCUAAAGAAACUAGAACCCUGCAUCUGUUCCUAUCAGUUUAAUAUCUGAUACAUCCUCUAUCCAAGGAAAUAUAUUAAAUGGAUUUUUGGAGCUAGGAGAUGGAAUAGGAGCUUGCUCCAUUCACUCCGCGCAUUGACUUGGUAUUGCAGUACUUCCAGAAACAGUGCACCAGAA